Long non-coding RNA from Stegodyphus dumicola, 871 nucleotides. RefSeq lists it as uncharacterized. The record is from RefSeq and is a predicted model, not a curated record. NCBI's taxonomy places the organism in Eukaryota, Metazoa, Arthropoda, Arachnida, Araneae, Eresidae.
ACGUUGUUUGUUUGCGUUAGUCACCAUGACAUGUUUUGAACUUCAUUUCGAUAUAUCAUAUUUGAAAAACUAUUUUUAGCUAAUAGACAUGAGUUCAUUUGCCUUGCUUUUGUGUACGACGGCUCUGAGAUAUUAUAUUUACGAUAACAGGAAUGAACUUUAUUUCUUACUUAGUCCUUUCCAAGUGUUGAUCUUUAUUAUGGGGAUCAAUUGCGGGAGCAUACUUAGCUAAGAUACUAUCCCAGUCGACCCCUUUAUGAUGACUCACCCCUUUAACAUUUCAUGGACUCCAGUUGACUACACCUAUACCGACCCCGUUGGAAACCCAUGCUUUACAGAAUCAAAAUACAUCCCAUUCACAUGUUGGAUAUUAACACGCAAACUUAUCUGAAAACCAUUUCUACAGUGUCUUAACGCUCUCGAAUAGAGAAGUUAAAUUUUCAAGUACAGGUGUAUUGCUCAAUGCAACGGUGGGAAUGUGGAGGCACAUUGAAUCGUUUCAUGAAUUCCCAAUUCUUUGCUAAACGAGAAAAUGGAUUGUCGGUGUUUCUGCAAAGAAUUUGUGUGUUUAGUAGGCAUAAAACAAUUACCAUGCGAAUGGAUUUGUAAUAAAUUUUGGUUUGAAAAAUUCAGUCACGAUUUUAAACAGGUUCAGCAAGCUCUGCUCUAAUCUGAGUAUGAGUUAAGAAGACAAAAGAGAAAAACACCGCCAAAUAUAAAAUUAACAGAAAAAUCUGCUUCAGAUUUCUUUGGUUCUGAUGAAGAGAGACCUCUACCUUUUUACCCUCGAAGCCGAUUGAGUACUGACUGAAAUCUACUCCGGGCAAAUGCGUGGUUUUCGACAUGUUAUACAUGUGGACAGUACGUGAUC